This 96-nucleotide signal recognition particle RNA is filed under the name Bacilli bacterium. RNAcentral's name for it is "signal recognition particle sRNA small type". It matches the Rfam family "Bacterial small signal recognition particle RNA". From Rfam's summary of the family: The signal recognition particle (SRP) is a universally conserved ribonucleoprotein involved in the co-translational targeting of proteins to membranes. Archaeal SRP consists of a 7S RNA and homologues of the eukaryotic SRP19 and SRP54 proteins. In most bacteria, the SRP consists of a 4.5S RNA and the Ffh protein (a homologue of the eukaryotic SRP54 protein). The record is from RNAcentral. Lineage: Bacteria; Bacillati; Bacillota; Bacilli.
AAUAUAAACGUGCAAUGGAAGUGAUUGAACCAGGUCAGGAUCGGAAGGUAGCAGCCUUAAGAUCCUCCUUCCAUGUGCACAUUUUUUUGUUUAUGG